AACGCGAAGAACCUUACCUGGGCUCGAAGCGCAGUGGACAUGGGUAGAAAUAUCCCUUUCUCGCAAGAGACUGCUGCGGAGGUGCUGCAUGGCUGUCGUCAGCUCGUGUCGUGAGAUGUUGGGUUAAGUCCCGCAACGAGCGCAACCCUUAUCGUUAGUUGCCAGCGAGUCAAGUCGGGCACUCUAGCGAAACCGCCUCGGAUAACGGGGAGGAAGGUGGGGAUGACGUCAAGUCCUCAUGGCCUUUAUGUCCAGGGCUACACACGUGCUACAAUGGCCGGUACAAACCGUCGCAAACUCGCGAGAGGGAGCUAAUCGGAAAAAGCCGGCCUCAGUUCGGAUUGGAGUCUGCAACUCGACUCCAUGAAGCUGGAAUCGCUAGUAAUCGCGGAUCAGCACGCCGCGGUGAAUACGUUCCCGGGCCUUGUA
RNAcentral lists this ribosomal RNA (429 nucleotides) under uncultured Acidobacterium sp. RNAcentral's name for it is "bacterial SSU rRNA". It matches the Rfam family "Bacterial small subunit ribosomal RNA", at positions 958 to 1385 of the family's 1533-position model. Lineage: Bacteria; Pseudomonadati; Acidobacteriota; Terriglobia; Terriglobales; Acidobacteriaceae. The record is from RNAcentral.